AGUAAUAUGCCUGAUUAAAGGAUUAUCAUGAUAGGAUAAAUAAUGUAAUUUAUUACUUUUACUA
This 64-nucleotide transfer RNA is filed under the name Parablepharis kuhlii asiatica. Its description in RNAcentral is "tRNA-Ile". The record is from RNAcentral. Lineage: Eukaryota; Metazoa; Arthropoda; Insecta; Mantodea; Hymenopodidae.